UAAUGAUUUGACUUAGGUAAGUUCUAGUUAUGUUUCUAGGUUUAAACUGAUUAAAAUCUCAUGAUUUAGGGUUUAAACGACGUAUCUUAGGGGUUAAACGAAAUAGGAAAAGACCAAAAGACCCCUGAAUUAACUGCUGUCGGAGUGAUCGACGGUUUGGACUGACGGGCCGUCAAUCCAUCGACGGACCGUCGAUUGGGUCCGUAGGUCGAGUCUGCCCGACAGGGCUUCACUAAAACGAGCAUAACUUUUUACUCGGAGGUCGGAAUUUAGCAAACUUGGUGGCGUUGGAAAGAUAAUUCAAUUAUCUAUCUAACCAUAGUUAAUGGG
Molecule: long non-coding RNA, 330 nt
Filed under: Solanum tuberosum (potato)
Lineage: Eukaryota; Viridiplantae; Streptophyta; Magnoliopsida; Solanales; Solanaceae
Description: long non-coding RNA (STUB_LNC006892)
Source: RNAcentral